This 314-nucleotide unclassified non-coding RNA is filed under the name Hevea brasiliensis (rubber tree). The record is from RNAcentral. Lineage: Eukaryota; Viridiplantae; Streptophyta; Magnoliopsida; Malpighiales; Euphorbiaceae.
AAAGAGAAUAUCCAUUGGAAGGAUGUAUUAAUAGGCCAUAAGAAUUUUUAGGAAAGAAUAUUUCACAUAUUUUUUCCACAAUUCCCUGAUGUUGUAUGAUCAUAAUUUUUGUUACCAUUCCUCUAGAAGAAACAAGAAGCUUAUGGCACAGAAUCAGCAACCAGAAAUCAUUAACCAUAAUUGCCAUAGGAACCACAGAAGCAAUUAGUAGUCGUGCACAAACACGCGUAGCUAAAUGGCAGUUGGGGUAGAAAGUUGAAUUUCUAGAACAUAUCAAAUCCUCAAAACAAGAAACAGUGUUCAUAAUAAAGCUG